Molecule: long non-coding RNA, 1172 nt
Organism: Balaenoptera ricei (Rice's whale)
Lineage: Eukaryota; Metazoa; Chordata; Mammalia; Artiodactyla; Balaenopteridae
Exons: 4
Source: RefSeq, a predicted model, not a curated record
ACCGCGGGUGGACACGCUCGGCCCCAGGCCACCAGGGAACGUUCGUGUCUGGAUAACGCGGCCCAGAUCCCUUUGAUGGGAGCAGCUCUGGCCAAGCCUGCAGGGCUGGCCCUGCCUGGUUAGGGUUGGACCUAAAGAAAUGCACUGGCCUAACCCAGUGGCCUCCGCUGACCGCGGUGGGAUGGGGUUAGGGCUGGAGGCUCCUCCACCUCCCACCCCUCAAAGAGGAUGUCUGUCCAAAGGUCAAAGAAUUUGAGAGGCUGAGUAAGUUGAGGGUGGGUGGCUGCCCAGUGAAGGCGGGGGGAGUAGUAGGAAGAAGGACGGAGGCGUAAAAAGAAGGAAGAAGAAUUUUAAGAACAUGCCAAGGACAUAACUGCAGUCCUUGGAAAGAUGCCAGAAAAGUUGGAGACGAAACUGAGCCGAACUAGGAAUAUCUGCCUCAAAAGAUCUGGCGUAACUCCUCAAAACAUCUGGCAUCCCUUGGUAGCGUUUAUCACUCCACUGGAAAGCUAACCUUCUCCAGCCGUCCUUGACCACGUAAUGGAGCAGAGAGCGGGGGACUCUGUCAGAAAAUCUGGUUCCGUCUCUGGCUCUGCCGUGUCUGAGCUCUGCCACCUUGGGCCACCUGCUGAUCUGUCUGUGCCUUGGUUUCUUCUCCUGUAAAAUAGAGAUCCUUAUACCUACCUCUUAGGGCUCUUGUGAGGACCAGAGGAGGUUUAGGUUCCGUCCAGGGUCAAGAAGGUCAAACUGAGAGAGCGUUGAGGUCUUUUUUCAGAAGCCACUGGAGCAAAGACCAACAUCUCUAGGAGAGGCUGCCGCACAGGCUGAGAAGGUCGUCAACAUGGGCAUUCUGCCCUGUGCCAGCAAGGAGGCAAAUCGGGACAGCAAGUUGGCAGGCCAUCUAUCAGGAGCCUCAGAAGCAUUCAUAUCCUUUAAUCCAGUGAUUCACAACUAGGAAUCCAGCUGUAGGAAGUCAGCAAAAAUGUUGAUAAAACCUUAUGCACAGAGGUAUUCAUCUCAAUGUUGUUUAUAAUAAUUAUUAGAAACAACUUCAGUGUCCAGCAGUUAGGGAUGGUUGUUAAAAUAAGCCACAUCUACGUGAGGGGGGUGUUAUAUAGCCUUUAGAAAUGAUAUUUCCAGAAAAAAAUUUGUAACAUGGGAAAAAAUGAAAU